GAUGAACGCUGGCGGCGUGCCUAAUACAUGCAAGUCGAGCGAACGGACGAGAAUCUUGCUUCUCUGAUGUUAGCGGCGGACGGGUGAGUAACACGUGGAUAACCUACCUAUAAGACUGGGAUAACUUCGGGAAACCGUAGCUAAUACCGGAUAAUAUUUUGAACCGCAUGGUUCAAAAGUGAAAGACGGUCUUGCUGUCACUUAUAGAUGGAUCCGCGCUGCAUUAGCUAGUUGGUAAGGUAACGGCUUACCAAGGCAACGAUGCAUAGCCGACCUGAGAGGGUGAUCGGCCACACUGGAACUGAGACACGGUCCAGACUCCUACGGGAGGCAGCAGUAGGGAAUCUUCCGCAAUGGGCGAAAGCCUGACGGAGCAACGCCGCGUGAGUGAUGAAGGUCUUCGGAUCGUAAAACUCUGUUAUUGGGGAAGAACAUAUGUGUAAGUAACUGUGCACAUCUUGACGGUACCUAAUCAGAAAGCCACGGCUAACUACGUG
RNAcentral lists this ribosomal RNA (497 nucleotides) under uncultured bacterium. RNAcentral's name for it is "partial 16S ribosomal RNA". It matches the Rfam family "Bacterial small subunit ribosomal RNA", at positions 28 to 507 of the family's 1533-position model. The record is from RNAcentral.